AUUGAACGCUGGCGGCAGGCUUAACACAUGCAAGUCGAGCGAGCGGCGGACGGGUGAGUAAUGUCUGGGAAACUGCCUGAUGGAGGGGGAUAACUACUGGAAACGGUAGCUACUACCGCAUACCCUCAGAUGUGCCCAGAUGGGAUUAGCUAGUGGGUUGGGUAAAGUCUUACCUAGGCGACGAUCCCUAGCUGGUCUGAGAGGAUGACCAGCCACACUGGAACUGAGACACGGUCGAGACUCCUACGGGAGGCAGCAGUGGGGAAGAUUGCAAAAUGGGCGCAAGCCUGAUGCAGCCAUGCCGCGGGUGUGAAGAAGGCCUUCGGGUUGUAAAGCACUUUCAGCGAGGAGGCGUUACUCGCAGAAGAAGCACCGGCUAACUCCGUGCCAGCAGCCGCGGUAAUAC
Molecule: ribosomal RNA, 406 nt
Filed under: uncultured bacterium
Lineage: Bacteria
Description: partial 16S ribosomal RNA
Rfam family: Bacterial small subunit ribosomal RNA
Source: RNAcentral